This 482-nucleotide ribosomal RNA is filed under the name uncultured bacterium. RNAcentral describes it as "partial 16S ribosomal RNA". It matches the Rfam family "Bacterial small subunit ribosomal RNA", at positions 30 to 507 of the family's 1533-position model. The record is from RNAcentral.
AUUGAACGCUGGCGGCAUGCCCUACACAUGCAAGUCGAACGGUAACAGGUCUUCGGAUGCUGACGAGUGGCGAACGGGUGAGUAAUACAUCGGAACGUGCCCAGACGUGGGGGAUAACGAGGCGAAAGCUUUGCUAAUACCGCAUACGAUCUAAGGAUGAAAGCAGGGGACCGCAAGGCCUUGCGCGUUUGGAGCGGCCGAUGGCAGAUUAGGUAGUUGGUGGGAUAAAAGCUUACCAAGCCGACGAUCUGUAGCUGGUCUGAGAGGACGACCAGCCACACUGGGACUGAGACACGGCCCAGACUCCUACGGGAGGCAGCAGUGGGGAAUUUUGGACAAUGGGCGAAAGCCUGAUCCAGCAAUGCCGCGUGCAGGAUGAAGGCCUUCGGGUUGUAAACUGCUUUUGUACGGAACGAAAAGGCUCUGGCUAAUACCUGGGGCACAUGACGGUACCGUAAGAAUAAGCACCGGCUAACUACGUG